RNAcentral lists this ribosomal RNA (497 nucleotides) under uncultured bacterium. RNAcentral's name for it is "partial 16S ribosomal RNA". It matches the Rfam family "Bacterial small subunit ribosomal RNA", at positions 28 to 507 of the family's 1533-position model. The record is from RNAcentral.
GACGAACGCUGGCGGCGUGCCUAAUACAUGCAAGUUGAGCGCUGAAGGUUGGUACUUGUACCAACUGGAUGAGCAGCGAACGGGUGAGUAACGCGUGGGGAAUCUGCCUUUGAGCGGGGGACAACAUUUGGAAACGAAUGCUAAUACCGCAUAAAAACUUUAAACACAAGUUUUAAGUUUGAAAGAUGCAAUUGCAUCACUCAAAGAUGAUCCCGCGUUGUAUUAGCUAGUUGGUGAGGUAAAGGCUCACCAAGGCGAUGAUACAUAGCCGACCUGAGAGGGUGAUCGGCCACAUUGGGACUGAGACACGGCCCAAACUCCUACGGGAGGCAGCAGUAGGGAAUCUUCGGCAAUGGACGAAAGUCUGACCGAGCAACGCCGCGUGAGUGAAGAAGGUUUUCGGAUCGUAAAACUCUGUUGGUAGAGAAGAACGUUGGUGGGAGUGGAAAGCUCAUCAAGUGACGGUAACUACCCAGAAAGGGACGGCUAACUGCGUG